AGAGUUUGAUCCUGGCUCAGAACGAACGCUGGCGGCAGGCCUAACACAUGCAAGUCGAGCGGUAACAGGGGGUGCUUGCACUCUGCUGACGAGCGGCGGACGGGUGAGUAAUACUUGGGUAUCUGCCCGAUAGUGGGGGACAACACGGGGAAACUCGUGCUAAUACCGCAUACGUCCUACGGGAGAAAGCAGGCAUAUGCUUGCGCUAUCGGAUGAGCCCAAGUCGGAUUAGCUAGUUGGUAGGGUAAAGGCCUACCAAGGCGACGAUCCGUAACUGGUCUGAGAGGAUGAUCAGUCACAC
RNAcentral lists this ribosomal RNA (301 nucleotides) under uncultured bacterium. RNAcentral's name for it is "bacterial SSU rRNA". It matches the Rfam family "Bacterial small subunit ribosomal RNA", at positions 8 to 313 of the family's 1533-position model. The record is from RNAcentral.